AUGGAACUAGACAAAUUCCUCAUGAAUGAUGAAUACACCUUUGCCGGAUUCGCCAUUGAAGGAGACAAAAAGAAGCUGAAGCUAUCUGGCUUGGAGAUCAACUACGACAACUACAUUGUUAUUCAAGUGGAAUGGAGAGACCCAUACAAUAAAAAGAAGUUUGACUCUUUGGCUGAUGUUGCCGGCAGGAUGAUAGACAUUCACUACCAUGACAUGAAGAAUAAAAUUAACCGCAAGGAGGACCAUACUGUGUGGGGAUUUUGCCUACUACCAGACAAACUUAUCAAGUAUGAAGCAAUAGAUGCAUUCGUAACAUAUGAGUCAUGGAGAAUCAUCUACGAUGUCAUAAUGGGACUGGACAGGGCAAAAAGAGAAAAAGAAGCGAAGAAGAAGAACAAGGCUAUAAUCCAAUACAACAACUAG
RNAcentral lists this ribosomal RNA (423 nucleotides) under Triticum aestivum (bread wheat). Its description in RNAcentral is "partial small subunit ribosomal RNA". The record is from RNAcentral. Lineage: Eukaryota; Viridiplantae; Streptophyta; Magnoliopsida; Poales; Poaceae.